Molecule: long non-coding RNA, 25430 nt
Filed under: Nicotiana benthamiana
Lineage: Eukaryota; Viridiplantae; Streptophyta; Magnoliopsida; Solanales; Solanaceae
Description: long non-coding RNA (NBEN_LNC012637)
Source: RNAcentral
UACAAUGAUUCCUUCACAUUUCCUAUAGGACCAAGAGGAGUACCUGGAGAUCAGAAUGCAGUAAGAAGAAGGAGAAGUCAGCAAUAACAAAGCAAACAAUAACAGUUGGAGUUCAAAUAGCAACAACCACAACCAGUUUCACCCUAGAGAUGAAUCAUUUAUCCAGAAAUGUUUUAAAUCAAACUGAACUGAGAGAUCAACACAAAACAACACCAAAAUAAACCAAAAGAACUUGAAAAUGAACCCAGAAACACACUCUGAAAAGUCAGCAACCAAACACCAAGAUUUUCAAGCUAUUUUCCUCUUUAAACUAGCCAGAGAUUCGAGACAAUUGCUAAAAAGCUGGAAAAGUGAUCUAAGGACUCAAUGUAACAGUUUUUUUUUAUGUCUUCCUAUAGCUUUUGUGUAUUUGUUUUUUGAGAUUUUCAGAUGAAAAGAGAUUUUCGAAUUCCAGAUCUGGUUUUUUGAUUUUCAAUUCAAAUUUCAGUUUGUGGAGACCUAGGGAAUUUUUGGAGGAAUUUUAGAUGUUGAAAAACUUCUGAGUGAAGGAAAUGGCAUGCCUUUUUAUAUGCACAAAUGAGGGCUCUAUCAGAUUUUCUAGUUUCUAUUUAGUCCCUCUUUAUUUUUCAGACUUUAGAUACUUAGUCCCUUAUUUAUUGACUUACUUAGUCCCUUAUUUAUUGACUUACUCAAGUCACUACACCUAUUUUUUGAAUUUCAAUCUUAAAACCCAUUCUAGAAAGUCCUAGGGCAUUCCAUUUCAGUUUUUGAAAUAUUCUUAUACCGAAAAUGCGUAAGCUACCCCUUUAUUUGAUCUGAAAUUAAUGACUAGCUUAACUAAAACCUCAACCCCUUUUUAUCCCAGAUAUUGUUAACCAUGUUAACUAUUCUAACCCUCAUAACCGACCAUGGUUAAUUAAUCUACAAGACUAGGAGCUAAUCAACUAUAUCCAAAAAAUUAGACUAAUUGAAAUUAACUGAAGUAAACUAAUUGAAAUUAAAAUAAUUAUAUAAACUAAAAAAUUAACUGAAAUAUACACAAUUAUACUAAAGUAACAAAUUUAACUACAAAUCCUAAAUCUAAUUAACUACUAAAUUGAAGAUUGCACACUACUUCAGAAAAAAAAGAAAUUCAACAUUGGUAAACAGAGAAAAAAUCAAGGAACAAUCAGAAAUACUAAUCACAAUAUUACGAUAAACUAAUCAAACUAUGGCCAAACGACAUUCAAACAAUUAACUUUGCAGAACCAGACUCCUAAUUGAAAACUAAUGCCACAAGUCAUAACUUAAACAGAAAAAUCGAAAUGAACAAACUUAAACCAGAACAUGCUAUUAGCAGGAACAAAUAGCAAAUUAACACCUAAAUCCUAAGAAAAAUAGGAAAGUGAAAUAAGCAGGCACAACUUAUUGAACAUGAAAGCAAUACAAGGUCAAAGAGAAACAAAUAGAUUAGACGAGACAGAAAAACAAAAUGGAUUCGACUGGUUUAGACCCGAUAUGAAUGGAGAUAAACAGAACACUUAAGAAGACUCACCAAUUUGACCUCGAACUCAGACCUUCGAACUCGGAGUUGAUAUCCACCCGAUUGACUUCAAAUACGGCUUCUAAAUAAUAUUAUAUGUCCAUUAUUGACAAAACAAACAUGUAAUAGUAUUCGGAACCGAAUGAAAACAGAUGUAAUUUGAAACCCUAGAUCUAAAAUAUGAAGAGUUUAAAGCGAAUUUGAAGGGUUUUGGGUAAAGGAGGUUAUGGAAAACCUAGGGUAUGAUUUUUGUGAGAUUUGGAAGACUUUAGGUUUUUUGACUGGAAUUUCGAUUUAAGAUUCAAAGAAUUCUGAAACGAAUCGAGAGGAGUGGAGUUGAUAUUUGGCAUGAGGGGAGGGAAAUGGUCCUAGGGUGUUAAUUUUGUGGGGGUUGGCGUUGGCGCCGCCACCCCAAGGCGGUUGGAACAACUCAUGAUUUUGCCUGACUUGAUUCCCUCUUCUACUAGCUCCCCCAUUUUUAACACAUCAUUGAAAGGCUUUCCCAAGGCCGGGAUCAAAUGAUUGAAGUAGGUCGGCCCCUAGGCUUGUAGGAAAAGCUGAACCAUUUCUUUUUCACUAAUCGGGGUAUUGACUUGAGCAGCUUGCUCCUUCCAUCUGAGCCCAAACUCCCUAAAGUUUUCCUCCGGCUUCUUUUCCAUAUUAGAUAGGGAUGAGCGGUCUAGGGUAACACCUCAUCCAUAUUGAAAGUAUGGAACAAAAUCUUGAGACAUGUCACCCAAUGUAGGUCACUUACCAACAUCUUGAUGAUCAUGCCACUCCAAAGAAGCCCCGAUCAAGAUCCUACUGAAAUAGGCCAUCAACAAGUCAUCUUUCUCUCCAACACUUUUCAUUUCACUACAAUAAACCCUCAGGUGAGCUAUCGGAUCUCCACCCCCAUCAUACAAGUUAAAUUUUGGCAAUUUAAACCACACAAACAGGCAAACAUCAAGGGACACAGACAGUUCUUUGUAAGCCAAUCUACCCUGGUCUCCCAUUUCUUGCUUGUUCUUUAAGGACUAUUUUAUGCCUUUUAGCCUCUUGGGUAUCCCAUCUCGCCCUUCUCUUCCUGUGACCUUUUCAUUUUCAGCUUGAAGCUCAUCCCAAUGGCUCUUCUUGUAUAAGUCAGGAACCUUGUGGGCAACUUAUAAGGGGUAAUAUUGGGUAUCAUGAUAUUUGAGUGGGUAUUUAUUGUUGGGGAUAAUGGAUGUAAUAGGAGGGAACGUUUGGGAAAAGAUAGUUAUAGGACGAGUGAUGGAGCUACUAGGUGUCGUUCCCCCUUUUUCUUAAAGCGGAAUCGAGUUUAUGACAUUUGGGAGGACAACUCGUUCCUUUUUGGGAAUUGGGUUUUGAAUUGAAGAGUCGCCACCUGAUGAUUAAAGUGAAUUAGGACACUAAGAAGGGUUCGAGUUGGAGAACCAGAAUUUGGGUAAGGGCUAGAAAUUAUCUCGAGGGGGAAAGGUAUUAGGAACCCCCCAAGAUCCACUAGUGUGGUUCCCGACCAUGUUAUAAUUGUGACUUCACAUAGAAAGUAAGCAAAUAGGGCUCAAAUAGAAGGAGUUUUCAAAAUAAAUGAAAACAGUUAAAAGGGGAGGGGGUCCUAAGUUUAUGAUUAAUAUGGAUCACAUAAAUGCAAUACCCAGUAAUCACUCCUCAGAAGAGGGGCUACAUGAGGUAUUAGCACACCGGUCAUCAUAUCCAUAUCUACCCUUCCCACCCCGUUAAGGUAUUAAAAUGCAAAAUAGUAUCGUUACUUGUUGCAUGCUAUUACCCGUCCCAAUCCUAUCAGUCCCAGAGGCAUUUAGGACUACUAAUCCUAGAGGGGAGGGAGUUGGGGAUUUUCAGAGAUUAAGAAGGAUAAAAGUCUAAAGCGACAACCAAAACAUAUAAGCAAUUAGGGUGGAAACAAUAGCAGUUAAAGGCUCAAACAAACCUCCUCACUCAAAGGAGCAAACUAUCUAGCAUGACUUCAAAUACUGGUUAUAGUCUGAAGUAGAUUAAAAACAUUAUGACACGCUGAUUUAUCAUAUAUUUUUUAGAUGAGAAGUUCGAAUUAGUUCUUGUCUGGCUUUAGUUUAUCAAAAACUAACGCAGUUAAUUAAAUACCUAAUAGUUUGCCUAGUUGAGACCUAUAGGCAUGAUAUCUAACAAUGCGGAAGGUGUACUGAUUUAAAGAAGGAUUACUAGUUUUAUGAACAAUAGUUCUGCAGAUUUAAAUGACAUUGCUACUGAUUUUCAACUUAUAGAUGAAAUAGACGAAGUUGAUUCAACUGAUUACUCCUAUAGGCAUAAUUUCAAAGCGUUGUUGGUUCAAAACGAUUACAUAGAUGCAAGAGUCCUAUUUGCAUGGUAUCUAAAAUGAAAAUGAUUAUUAUUAAACCUAUGAUUGUUUGCCUAAUGGUAGAUGAACAUGAAGAAGACCUAUAGUUAUGAUUUCUAUAUGAAAGAAUGCAGAACUUAUAGGCAGGAUUUCUAACGAUAUGCAGGAUGCAGAACUUUAUAGGCAGGAUUUCUAAUGAUAUGUAGAAAUACAGACAACUUAUAGGUAGGAUUUCUAGUGUAUGCACAAGUGCAGAAAAACUAAUAGGCGGGAUUUCUAAAGAUGCAGAAAAAUUUAUAGGCAGGAUUUCUAAUGAUAUGCAGAAAUGCAGAUAAACCAACUUCCAGGAUCAGUGAUCUGUGAUUGACGAGUCAAAUCAAAUCACUGAAGAAUUAUUGAAGCUAGAAGAUCAGGACAAUGGUCAAGGUUGGAAGGUCCAAUAAUCAAGGAAGAAUCUUGUCGAAUCCAUUAUCUGACGAAGGAAAAGAUUUGAAGAGAAGCAACGGCUAGGUCCUUGUUGUUGGAAAGAAUCAAUUCUUUCCAAGGAUCAAAACCCUUGGGUUGACAAGCCUUUAGCAUCCAUCCUUGUAUAAAUUUACAGUGUAACACCAUCCUUAGUAUACUUUGAUCGAACCAAAAUAACUCUCUUUAUUCUACUGCAAACAAGCAUAGUAGCCUACAUAGAUCUGAUGUAUAACAAGUCAGGGAUAGAAAGAGGGCAUGCAACUGGUGAGGCAUUGUAUCAAACGAGUGCUAGAGAAACUGAGGGAUAUACAUCAAAUUUGUACUCAAAAGAAAACUUAUUUACUUGAAGAGAAAUCCCUUGAAACCCAAGGGGAUUGGAUUAAGAUUCACAUUGAAUCUGAACCACUAUAAAAAUUCUUGGUGUCUUUAGUUUCUGCAUUUACUUUUUGCUUAUUACCUUAAAUUAGUGUCUGCAAGAUUGCCACAUUUGGUCGACUACAUACGUUUUAAGUCAGCCUAUUAACGAUUAAUUUUAAUUAUUGUCAAUUCACCCCCCCCCCCCCUGUACUUUCAAUUGGUACCAGAGCUUGGCUCACACUUUUGCUUUUUGCUUAACAGGUUGUGAGAAAAAGAUCAUGGAAAAUCAGGUUAUCAUAGGAGCUCUGUUUCAGGAAGGAACUUCACAAGUAAGACCAUCGUACUUCAAUUGACAAUACUUCUCCCCACUGGAAAAUCCUAAUGGAAAUCUUCACCAAAGCACAUGACGCCAAAGUGUGAAGAUUUAUCAAGAAGGAAAACUACCCAUUGCCUGCCAGCACUCUCACUGACCCUGAUGAUAUAGACUCAUACUCAAAGGAGAAACUGGAAGUUGUACAGAUAAACCACAAGGCAAGAAAUAUGCUUCACAAUGCAAUAAGUGGUGAAGAAUAUGAGAAGAUAUCUAGUUGUGAUAUAACCAAAGAUAUGUGGGACAAACUCGAGGUUAUCUAUGAAGGUACCAUCACGGUGAAGGAAACCCACAUCAAUAUAAUAGUUUACGACUAUGAACUAUUCUCAAUGAAGGAAGGAGAAUCCAUUGAAGAAAUGUUUGCCCGGUUCAGUAAGAUAACUAGUUCCUUAAAAGCUUUUGGCAAACCAUACACCAGUGGUGAUUAGGUUAGGAAAAUUCUCAGAAGUCUACCAAGCACUUGGCAGACUAAAUCUCAAGAUCUUAACAAGUUAUCAUAUGAUGAACUACGAGCAGAGCUCAUUGCUUUCGAAAGAACACAUCUGAAGAAGACAAAUCAAGAGGAGAAAAAGAAAAUUGUUGCAUUCAAAACUACUACUAAAUCAACUUAAAAUGAAAUUGAUGAUCUUGAAGCCCUAAAAGAAGAAAUUGCAAUGAUGUACAGAAACAUGGAUAGAUUGAUGAGAAGAUAUAGAAAUAAAAAAGAAAGGAAGAUUUCCACCAAGAAGAUCUAGGCAAUACAUAUACAAUGAACAAGACAAGAACGAUGGAAAAUGCUACGAAUGUGGAAAGUUUGGGCGCAUCUAAGUGGAGUGUCCAGAACUGAAAAGAAAGAUCUCCAGAGGGUUUAACAAGAGCAGAUCAUUUAGAAGCUAGAGUGAUGAGGAUGACUCAGACCAUGACGAAAUAGCAAAUUUCUACUUCAUGACAAUUCUAGAAAACGAGAUCAACAAAACUUCAGGAUGCUGGACAGAUGAAGAUGAUUCAUACAAUGAAAAUUGUUUUAUGGCAAAAGGAGAAAUUAGUGAGGUAAGAUCUUGACUGAAAGAUGUAAUGAAUUGCAAGACAUUCUUGAUUCCACCUUAAAAGAGACUCAAAAAAUGAUGAAUGAACUUAAGAGACUCACUAGGUAAAUCAAAGGCUGGAAAAUCAAACAUGAAGUAUGUGAAAUUGAAAAAGACGUAAUUCAAGAGGAGUUUGAGGAAUUGCAAAUGCAGCGUAACAGCUUGCGCAAAUCCACGAGUCACAUCUCUAUUAGGUCAAAUCAGACAAUUUACAAGUCAACUGGAAAAGAACCAAUCAAAACUAAAUCGACCAGUCGAUCGGACCAGUCGACUUACAAGUCAACUAGAAAGGAAUCAGCUAAUCUCAUGACAGCAAUUCCAACUCUUAUGAAAGACCUGAAAACAGGUCUGGGGCUAAAUGUCAUUACAGAAAUAGAAGUGGGCAUAAAUACUCUGGUUUUCAUUUUCGUAAAUCUCAUAUGUCUUGAUGGGGUUGGAAACCUAAGAAUUCCAAACCCAGUAACACUAACUCACCAGGACCCAAGCAAGCUUGGAUACCUAAAAGAAAGUAAUAAUUAUGUGUUGCAUGAACACCACAGAGUAAGCCGCAAAGGAAUAUUGUAUCUAGAUAGUGCGUGUUCCAGUCACAUGACAGGUGACAAAAACCUUUUUAAGGAAGUGACAAAGAUUGAUGGAGGAAGUGUCAAAUUUGGAGAUGAUUUAAGAGGCAAAAUAGUUGGCACUGGAACUAUUUCUUUCAAUAACAACUGUGACAUUACUGAAGUAUAUCUGGUUAAUGGAUUAAACUACAAUCUUCUCAGCAUAAGUUAACUCUGUGACUCAGGAUAUGAGGUAAAAUUUAAGAGAACUGGAUGUGCCAUCAAAGAUGAAUCAGGUACAAUAAUUCUUCAUGGAAAAAGGUACGGAAAUGUUUACAUACUUGAUGGAUUCGAAAAUAUAGAUGGUCACAUCUUCCUAACUUCUAUGUCUGAUGAUCCAUGGUUGUGGCACAGAAGACUAGGUCAUGCUAGCAUGCAUUUGAUUCAAAAAUCAUCCAAACAUGAUUUAGUUGUUUGGUUACCUAAACUGAAUUUUUCUAGAACUCAUAUUUGUGAUGCAUGUCAGAUGGGUAAGCAAACUAGAAAUUCUUUCAAAAACAAAAACAUAGUGUCUACUUCGAAACAAUUGGAAUUACUUCAUAUGGACUUAUUUGGACCUACUAGAACUGCUAGAAUAGGAGGCAAGAAAUAUGCUUUUGUUAUUGUUGAUGACUUUUCACGUUUCACCUGGGUGAUUUUCCUGUCUUAUAAAGAUGAAGCCUUAAGAAACUUGAAGUUUUCUGGAAAAGGAUUGAAAGAGAAAAUGGGUUAUCUGAUCUCUAUAAUCCAAAGUGAUCAUGGAGGCGAGUUUGAGAGCAAGGCUUUUGAAUAUUUUUGUAACGAUCAAGGUUACACUCACAAUUUCUAUGCUCUGCGCUCACCACAGCAAAAUGGAGUUGUGGAAUGAAAGAACAGAACACUUCAAGACAUGGCAAGAACCAUGCUAUUAGAACACUCUCUGUCAAAUCAUUUCUGGGCUGAACGUGUGAGUAUUGCAUGUCACAUUCUCAAAUGUUGUCUUAUAAGGCCCAUUCUGAAAAAGAUCCAUAUGAACUAUGGAAAGGUAAAGCAAGUGCUUCACUCAUAACAAUGAUAAGGACAAUCUUGAAAAUUUUGAUCCUAGAAGUGACGAAGGUAUUCUUCUUGGUUAUUCUUUAAAUAGCAGAUCAUUUAGAGUCUUUAAUAAACAUACUUUGUGUGUAGAAGAAUCUCUUCAUGUUAUAUCCAAUGAAAAUAAUCCCUUGGUCGAGAAAGGAAUUAAUGCAGGUGACGAAGAUCAAACUCAAGAAGUUUAGAACAAAAGAAAAUCACAUGAGUCAACUAAUACCGCAGAUGUGAUUCAGUCGACUGACCAAGUUAGCAAUAACACUCUAGAAUAACGUACGGAGUCAAUUACAAGAACUGUUCGACUAAAUGAAUGGAGGAGCGGAACUGAAUAUCCACAGAUUUAUAUCACAGGGGAUCCAAACGAAGGAACGAAAACCAAGGCUUCCCUAAAAAAGGAAAGCAAAUAUUGCUUUGAUCUCUCAAAUAGAGCCAAAAAGGUAGAGGAAGCAUUGAAAGAUUCAAGCUGGGUGAAAGCCAUGCAAGAAGAACUAGAUAAAUUCAGCAAGAAUCAAGUGUGGAAGUUAAUACCCAAACCUAAAAAUGUAUCCGUCAUCGGAACAAAAUGGGUAUUCAAGAAUAAAUUGAACGAGUAAGGACAAGUCAUAAGUAACAAGGCCAGAUUAGUUUCUCAAGGCUAUUCACAACAAGAAGGAGUCGACUAGGAUGAAACCUUUGCCCAGUAGCUCGACUAGAGUCUAUACGAAUCUUGUUAUCUUACGCAUCAUUCAAGGGAUUCAGGCUAUUUCAAAUGAAUGUCAAAAAGUAUUUUUCUGAAUGGAUUCAUCGAAGAGGAAGUUUUUGUAAAACAACCUCCAGGCUUUGAAGACUCAAAGUUCCCUUAUCAUGUGUACAAGCUUACUAACUCCCUAUACGAACUGAAACAGGCUUCACGUGCUUGGUAUGAUAGGUUAAGUACUUUCGUUGUUGAUCAUGGGUUCACUAGAGGUAAAAUUAAUACUACUCUAUUCAUUAAAUGAUCAACAGAAUGUAAUCUUAUCAUUCAAAUUUAUGUUGAUGACAUUAUCUUUGGUAGUGCUAAUUCUCUUAUGUACAAGGAAUUUGCAAACCUCAUGCAAAGUGACUUCCAAAUGAACAUGAGGGGUGAACUCAUAUUUUUCCUUGGGCUUCAAAUUUAUCAAACCGAAGAAGGAACCUUCAUUUGUUAAACAAAAUAUAAAAAGGAGCUUAUCCAAAAAUUUGGCAUGAGCAAUGCAAAAUCAAUUGGCACUCCUAUGAGUACGGCUACAAAUUUGGAUAAGGACGAACAUGGUACUCCAGUUGAUGAAGCCAAAUACAGAGGAAUGAUAGGAUCACUACUGUAUCUGACCACAAGUUGACCAGAUAUUAUGUUCACCAUUUGUGAAUCUGUCGGGCUUCACUCAGCUCCCAAGGAGUCACAUCUGACUACUGUAAAAAGAAUUAUUCGAUACCUUAUUGGCACAGUAUCUCAUGGCUUAUGGUAUCCUCGCUCUAACUCGUUUAAAUUAGAUGGUUUCUCAGAUGCAAAUUUAGCAGGUGAUAAAGAAGACAGGAAAAGCACGAGUGGCACUUGUCAAUUACUAGGAAUGCCUUUAAUAUCUUGGAACAGUAAAAAGCAAGCAUCAGUCGCCUUGUCCACUACUGAAGCUGAGUAUAUUGCCAUUGGUCAAUGUUGUGCAUGACUCCUGUGGAUGUCUCAUCAAUUGGGUGACUAUGAACUUUUUUUAAACCUACACAAAUCUUUUGUGAUAUUUUAAGUGUAAUUUGUCUCUCAAAAAAUCAUGUGCAUCACUCUAGAGCACAUAGAAAUUAAACAUCAUUUUAUUAGAAAUCAUGUUCUUAAAGAUGACAUAGAAUUAGUUUUUGUUGGCACUUCUGCCCAAUUAGCUGAUAUUUUUACUAAAGCGUUGUUGGAAGAACGAUUUUGCUCCAUGAGAAAAUCACUUGGAUAAUUUGUUUUUCAAAAAACUCUUAGGACCUAAUUGUUAUUUUUCAAAAACUUGUCAUAAUUACUCCUUUCAGCCAUUAAUUAUGGAGUCGGUCUCUUCCCUCUCUUUUUAAUUCUGUUUCACAUUAGUUUGCAGUCGAAGUUUGAAAGCCAAUCAUCACAUCGCUUCAACUCACACCCUUUCCUUUUUCUGUACUCAACCGACAAAUCUUUUCUCUUUAAGAUAAGCCUUUUCGGGUCACUCUCAUCUCCAUCAUCUCUCUUCAUCCUGUAACAACCUUCCUUUCUCACAUGGCGAAGUCCUACAAAACCUCUUCUGCUUCCACCAGAAACAGCACUCGCUCGAAGGCAAAACCCUCUUCUGCGCCUCCUGAGCAAGUAUACUCAGGGUCUUUCGUUCAAAGGGUUGUGCCUCUUCUCAAGAAGCAUACUCUGAACACUCUCAACUCAUAGGAGAAAAAUCCUAUGGUAAGCGUCCCAUGGAGGAUCCUCCUGCCUCUUCCACUCCAAAGAAAUCAAAGUUCGAUUUCUCUACUUCACUCGAUUCCGACCUAAAUUUCUAGGAUACCCGAAAUAGGGAUUUUUUUUAUCUCUCUCAAGGACAAUCCCAUCACCCAUGGAAUAGUUGUGGAUCUUGAUGAUAUGGAGUCUCUCAACUGCAGCGUAAAAGAUCUUUUUGUGUAUCAAUGGUGGGAAAAAUUGCUCUCUAUUUCUUCGCCUAAAGUGUAUGAGCCCCUAGUCCGUAUGUUUUAUGCUAAUCUUUGUUCUAGUAAACCUGAUAGGAUUGAAACUCUUGUUCUUGGUAAACGCAUUGUUCUUGACUGUGGUUUGUUUGAUUCUAUUGUUCUCUGUCGCUGCUCUGGUUUCCCCAUUCUCUUUAAGAAUGUCUGGCCUGAGGACUUUGAAAUUACCUUUGACCAGGCCAAACAGUGCAUUGCUGAAAAUCCCUCUGAAAACCCUUCCCAAUUAAUUGGGGCCUAGUGAUGUGAGUUUUGAAACUAGGGUUCUUGCCCACAUUGUUGCAACCACUCUUCUCCCCAGAACUGGUUCCUUCUCAAUCCUCUCUCAAAGGAACACCUUCUUUGUCUAUUGUCUUAUCUCCAAACUCAAAAUCAAGAUGUCCUCCUAGGUCAUAAAUUUUAUGAUUGUGAGUGCUGAAGAUUCAACCAGUUUACCAUUUGGUAUGGCCAUCACCGACAUUCUGGAAGCUUAUCAAAUUCCGCUUUCUGACUACCCCUUUGUUCCUGUCUACAAGUCCUACAACUCUAGAGCCUUCUCUAGUAUAGGGUAUGUGAGUGUCAAGGGUACCUAGGUUAAGAAGGGUGAAAGAGAUGCAAAACAGACCCCUGCGGAAACCAAGCCUUCGUGUGCUGUUAAGCCCUCUCCCAUUACUUCUGACCUAAGUGAAAUGUGCAGCUCCAUUGAUUCCCAACUCUUAGACAUCAAGACUCUCUUGUCCGCCACUCAGUCAACUGUGGAUGCUAUUCAUGCUAUUUCGAAGGAAACAUGGUCAAAUGUGUCUAAAAUCAUGGUGGUUGUGCAAGGGUAAAGGAGAAAGUGGUUAAAGCCUUCAAGGAGGUGCAUGACAGGCUGGAUGGGAUGAGCAUUGCUGCAAACACAAGCUUUGAACAGUUGAAGGAGGCGAUCUGCAACACUUACUUACUUCCUGCGUCGUUGCUAUGGAUGUGUUUUACAGACAAUCUUUUUUAUGGUUUAAACUUGUUUUGGCUUUGGUUUGGGCUGUGCUCAUGGAUGUUUUUCUUCCUUUUCUGCCUAUGUGGAUAAUAUUUUUCGCCGAUACUUGCUAAUCCCUCUUUGCUGAUGUCAAAAAAGGGGAGAAUAUAUAUGUUCUUGGUUUAUUAACGAUAUAUGUGCAGGUUCAAGUCGACUAUGCAUACAUAGGGUACACUUAUGUACUCUAUUUUCGUUAUAUAUGUUAAGUCGACUAUGUUACAUGCAUAAAAGGUACUCUUUAUUCUUUGAACAGGUUAAAUCGACUGUGCUACAUGCAUAGACAGUACUUCAUAUAUAUUGCAUAGGAACCAGUCAACUAUGUUGCCCAUGCAUAGACAAUACUAUGCAGGUACAAGUCGACUGCACAUAUUGAGGGGGAGCUCAAGUCUAGUUGACUACACACAUUGAGGGGGAGCCAAGUCGGCUAGUAAUAAACAGUAAAGCACUGUUGUUUACUUCUUUACAUCUACGUAUAUUAUUUUGCUAUCACAAAAAAGGGGGAGAUUGUUAGAUCAUGUUUUAAUGAUGCAAUUAAUAUGCAUGUGCAAGAUUCAAAGAAGUAAAAAGGAAUUAUUGAAAUGGCUAUGCCGAACAAGGAAAUAAAUCAAUCAUAAGGGAAGGUGCUUGAAAUACUUACGGUGUACAAGAAAAGAUACAGUUCUACACCAGCAAAUCAGGAUUAGCUUCGUGAUUCUAGGAAAUCAAAUCAGCCAUAACAGAAUAAAGAUUCAACGUGAUUUGUGAUUGACGAGUCAGCUCAAAUCACUAAAGAAUUAUUGAAGUUAGAAGAUCCAGACAGUGGUCAAGGUUGGACAGUCCAAUAAUCAAGGAAGAAUCUUGUCGAAUCCAUUAUCUAACGAAGGAAAAGAUUUGAAUAGAAACAACAGCUAGCUCCUUAUUCUUGGAAAGAAUCAAUUCUUUCGAAGGAUCAAAACCCUUGGGUUGACAAGCCUUCACCAUUCAUCUUUGUAUAAAUUUACAAUGUAAAACUAUCCUUAGUAUACUUUGAUCGAACCAAAAUAACACUCUUCAUUCUACUGCAAACAAGCAUAGUAGCCUACAUAGAUCUGUUGUGUAACAAGCCAGGGAUAGAAAGAGGGCAUACAACUGCUGAGGCACUGUAUCAAACGAGUGCUAGAGAAACUGAGCGACAUACAUCAAAUUUGUACUCGAAAGAAAACUCAUUUACUUGAAGAAAAAUCAUUUGCAACCCAAGGGUAUUGGAUUAUGAUUCACAUGGAAUCUGAACCAGUAUAAAAAUUCCUGGUGUCUUUAGUUUCUUCAUUUACUUUCUGCUUAUUACCUCGAAUUAGUAUAUCUGCAAGAUUGCCAUAUUUAGUCGACUACUUAAGUUUUAAGUCAACUUAUUAACAGUUAAUUUUAAUUAUUGACAAUUCACCCCCAUUGUACUUUCAAACUCUACGAACAUGAAUUACAAAAUGCCAGAUGCCCAAAGACCUUCGCGAAUGCGAGCCACUAGUCAUGAUCGCGAAGGAGUAAGCACCAUACAUCAGAAACAGUAGUCCAAAUAUGGCAAAAUGACCCGUAGCCCAUUCGAAACACACCCGAGGCCCCCACCAACCCAUCCAAUCGCAUCAACCGGUCCACCAUUUUAUCCAAACUUAUCCAAAUGCUCAAAAUGCCACAGAUAAUACUAAAACCACGAAUCGAUGAUCAAAAUCCUUCAUUUAACUUUCAAACCUUCAAACUUCGCCAAAUGCUUCUGAACCUCACUUAGUCAUUCUGGAUUACGACUAAACAUCACACUCAAGUUUCAAUCAAUAAAAUUAACCUAUCCAAGGUCCCGGAACAUCAUCCGAAGUCUGAUAACACCAAAGUACACUAUAAGUCAAACAUAGCAAAUUUCAAACCUUCAAAAAAGUAAACUUUCGUGGAUCAUCUGAUACUUAAUCCGAACAUAUGCCUAAGUCUAAAAUAACCUUACGAACCUAUAGGAACCUUCAAAUCCUUAUUUCGAUGUCGUUUUAUCAAAAGUCACACCUUGGUCAACUCAUUCAACUGAAGACUUCUGAAUUGAGAAUUAUUCUUCUAAAUCAACUCCGAACUUCUCAAAAAUCAAAACCAACUACAUGUGCAAGUCACUAUACAUGAAAUGAAGCUGCUCAAAGCCUCAAACUGUCGAACAACAUGCUAUAUCUCAAAGCGAUCACUAGUGUCAUUGCAUGACAAUUUUAUUAUCCUAGAAAUGCAAACAUGUUAACUAGCACUAAUUGUGUGUUAGUAGAUAAUCAUAGAUAUGUUUUCAUCAUGUUCAAACCGGUACAAAAAGUUGUACCGCAUCUAUACCAAAAGUCCAAAACAUCACUUGUAUCGGUAGAAAUUCCAACGAAUUGAGAUAACAAACUACAUAGUGUAUUUCAAAAAGAUUGAAAUCUAUUUCUUCUGUCAUAAUUUAUGUGCUAUACAUUUUAUUAGUUAAAAUAUAAUUUAUUUUAUUAAAAAUAAUUUAAUUUUAAAAUUUCUACUUUACGAGAUAAUUUGUUGUCACACACAUAUCUAUGAUUUAUUAUAGACUAAAAAUUUCAAAACUAUUCAUUUUCUUUAAACCUCUUCCUAAAUCAAACAUUACCAUAAACAUUGAGAUAUGAGAAUACUAUUCUUAGUAGUUCAAAUGGAAAUGAUAAAAGAUAUUAUUAAGUUUUACUCCCUCGUAUAGAAAAGUUGUUAUUCCUGCACUUAAGAAAUAUACGCAAAGGCAUUUUCAUCAUCUUUUCCCUUACGAGAAUGAAUGCAAGAAACAAAUACUCAAUAUAUGUGUUAGACCAAACAACUAAUCCAUGAUAAAAAAGAGAGCAUUUGACAUUGUACAAGGUAACAUUGAUUUAUAUUAAAGCUAGAAUGAUGGAGUGACACGUGGAACCGGAGGUGGACAGAAGAUAAAUCGAAUGAAAACCAAGACCUAGGACAACAUUUUCGGUUGGUACCGGAUAGAUCUCGAAGGGAACGCGGUCAACAGAAGCAAAUGAAUGUUUGUCACCAGAUGACAUUUAUUGAAGAAUAUUCCUGAGCAUUAAAUAUGCAGUCAUUGCAGAGAAUUUUGGCAUCCGUGGCUUGCCAUUAAAAAUUCAUCAAUGACCCCCUUAAUUGUUAUUUAAGAGGGGCUUGAUCUUAGAAUCUUGUUCCAUAGGUAUGAUUAUAAAUAGUGGCUUCAACAACCAUUGUAAUACACGAAAUCUCUAGCAAAACUUAUGCUAACUUUAUUCUCAAGCUAAAUAUACAACUUUAUUUUUUGUCUAAGUAUUGUUCUUAUCGAUGUCUUCGAAAGCCUUGCUCCUAGAACCAGGCUUGUUAUUUCUUUCAAUUUCAAUGCUAAGUCUUUUUUAUUUAUUUUUAUGCUAAGUCUUAUCAUUUUGGGAUCAAAUCAGUUUGCUUGUCUGCUUUCGAUAAACCACGCAAUAAAUUCAACUGUAUUAUUUUACGGGUAAACAGUUUGGCACCCACCGUGUGGAUUAGAUAGCUGCAUAUUGAGUUGAUCCUUGUGUCUGUUACUAACUUGUUUUAUUCGUUGUUUCAUAGAAAAAAUUAAAAAACAAAUGGAAGUUAAUGAUGCCAACAUACACACAAUGUUGAGGCACAAGAAAAUCUGCCUCAACAUAAGGAUUCAAUCAGUAACACCUGCAACGAGGGGGACAUAGCAACUCCGGUCCAUGGAAGGAAAUAUCUCCGACAUGUGUGGGAGACAACUCCUGAUGAUGUUGAGGAUGAGCAUGUUGCGAAAACGGUAAGGAUCUUGAGAGAGCAACGAAAGGCCAUCAUUGUCCAUCUCUCAAGGCAAGACCAUGUCGUGAUAGAACUAUAGCAGGCAUUGUUAGGAGCUUCCAACAAUGCGAAGGGAAGAGGCCCUAUUCCUCCCGGCACUCCCUCAAAUCAAACAACUCAAAGAGUUGAUAGAAACAUCCUGAGGGGUGAGUUCGACUUCGAUGGAGCCGGGGGUGAUGAGUAGCAGAUCCGGUAAUGACAAAGGCAAUGAUCCCUUCAAAGUCGAACUCAUAAUAUUGAUGAGGAAAAUGAACGAGCGGAUAGAUCAGAAUGCAAAAAAGUCCCAUGCUCGAAUGGAACAAAUUCUGGGCACACCACUAGUGUUGGAGGGCACAGACUCAAAGAAGUACACUCAAUUUCCGUUCAAACCGAUUGCAACACCAUAAUUGAUUCCAAAAUGGUCCUGAAUGCCAAACAUACCGAAAUAUGAUGGGACUUGAGACCCUCAGGAGCACAUCACAACUUAUAUAGUGGCAGUGGAAGGAAAUGACUUGGCCCAACAUGAGAUUUAGUUGGUCCUGCUAAAGAAAUUCAGAGAAACCCUCACGAAGGGUGCCUUGACAUGGUAUUCACUCAUACCUGAACAUACAAUAGAUUCUUUUUGAAGUGCUCGCAGAUUCUUUCAUCAAGGCCUAUGCCGGGUCCAGGAAGGUCCAAGCCCGAAAGGUGGAUAUAUUCAGAAUUUUGCACGGAGAGUCCAAAUUAUUGCAUGAGUUCUUGAUCAUGUUCUAGAAAGAGAGGAUGUUGCCGAUUGUGCCAGAUGAAUGGGCAACUGAGGCAUUGACUAAGGGGUUGAACCCGAUGAGCUUCAACGCAUUUUGAAAGCUGAAAGAAAUCAUGCUCGAAUUCUAAGCAACCACAUGGGUGGAUGUCUGUAACCAUUAUGAAUCAAAUAUAAGGAUAUAAGAUGAUCAGUUUGGGUUCUGGCAUCAAACAAGGGCCGGGAUUGAGAAAAGAACAGGGAUAAAUCUAAAGAUGAUCUUGAUGCAGAUUGGCUAUCUUCUAAGGGCCGAUUCUUUCGCUACGAGAGGGCAGAAGGACACAUUAGAAAAGGGUUUCGGUCAGAGGAUAGGUUCGCCCCUGAUAGAAGAACUGACAACGGCCGAAACAACAGGUCGUUGCAAGACAAAGAGGUAUCAAGUUCCUGAGAUUCCACUUAUCUAGGCUGUUAGAGUAUAAUUUUAAUAUUAGCAUAGUGGAGUUAGUAUUAGCAAUGAGAAACAUCCAGGAAGCACUGUUCCCGAGGUCGAUCAGAUUUGAUCCCAACUAGAAGGAUCCUAAUUUAUAGUGAAAAUAUCAUGGGACUCAUGUCCACUAAACUGGGACUGUAGACAUUUGCGCGAGGAGAUGUCAACGCUAUUGAAAAACGGCCAUCUUAGGGAAUUAUUAAGAGAUCGAGCCAAGAACAACUACAGUCACUGCCAAGACAAUGAGAAUCCUCGAAGACAAGGGAAGACCCUCCACGACUAACUAUCAACAUAGUUUUCGGGGGGAACAAGAUCAAUGGUGUAACUUUCUUGAUAGCCAUAAAUAAGAAGAUAUCAGUGACUCAUAGCAAGAGGCUACAUGAAGUCAAAGAAGACGACAUCACAUUCAUGGAAGUAGACGCCGAUGAACUUCUUCUACCGCACAACAAUUCCCUAGUAAUUUCUCUUAACAUUCCAGAUUUAAAGAUUAAACAUGUUUUGGUUAACCUACGAAGUUCAACCACUCAUUCAAUGGAGAGUGCUAGAACAAGCUAAACUAACCGGAAGCAUCAUUCAGACAACAAAGCUCCUCGCCGGGUUUAACUUAACAAGUGUGAAUCUGAUGCGAGAUAUUUCUGCCCAUGGAUGCCUAAGGGGUCACAAACACCACCGUAUUUGAAGUCGUGGAUGGCAACAUGGGCUACAAUAUAAUUCUCGGCAGACCAUGGCUACAAGAGAUGAUGGUCGUACCAUCGUAUAUCACCAAUUUCUAAAAUUCCUGACUCUAGAUGGAAUCAAACAAAUAAUAGGAUAUCAACAGGAAGCAGGGGAAAUAAAUGCGGUAUUCGUUUCCAGCAGUAAAGGGGAGUGUAACAACUCGAUCGGUCGUUUCAUGAGUUACCUCUCUAUUUCCUCCAUUUCUGUUUCUUUAUAUGUUGUUCAGCUGCAUUUCAUCGUAUCGCUUCCGUUGGUUUGGGUUUGGAGUGGUUUCGUAGAGAAAUGAGAUAUUUGAUCUCUUUUUGGGAAGCUUUAGUUGGAAAAGUCAACCAGAAAAUGAUUUAUGAGUAAAUGAUCUUGGAACUUGGUUUUUAUGGUUCAGAUAACUUCAUGAGGUGAUUUGGGACUUAUGAGGAUGAUUAGAAUAUAUCUUGGAGGUCUGUGCUAGAUUUAGUCUUGAAGGCGAAAUUGGAGUUUUGGUGUUCUCCAGUUGGAAGUGGAAUUUUGAUAUCGGGGUCGGAUUGGAAUUUUGAAAAUUGGAGUAUGUCGAAUGUAUCAUUUGGGACGUGUGUGAAAUAUUUUAGGUAUUUUGGAUGAAGUUUGACAGAAUUUUUAUCAAUGGUGGAAUUCAGAAGUUUUGGAAUCCUUAGGCUUGAAUAUGAAGGUGAUUUGGUGUUUUAGCGUUGUUUUGAGUGUUCUGAGGGUUGGUAUAAGAUUGAAUGGUGAUAUGUAACUUGUUGACUUGUUUGGUUGAGGUCCCGAGCCUCGAGAUGGAUUUGGAUGGUUGGUGGGAGAUUUGGAAUUUGAGUGGAGCUGAAAAAAUUUUGUGCUUUUGUUGUUUCCGCGCCUGCGGAUUGGGGACUGCAGGUGUGAUGAUUGCAGGUGCGUAGGGCUGACUGCAUGAGCAUAUUUAGUUGCAAGAGCGAAUGGAUAACUGCAUCUGCAGUCCUAGGGAGCAGGUGCGGAAGUUGGCCUCCUAAAGUGAAAAUCACAAAAGCGGGAAAAUAUCCACAAAAGCGUUAAUGCAGGUGCACUUAAGGGACCGCAGAUGCGGAAUCCCUAGGUCAGAAAACUAAGUUUCCCUUGGCUAUUUUCACCCUUGUUUCACCAUUUUUGAGACGGACUUGGAGCUUUUUGAGAGGAUUUGAAGAGGGGUUCAAGGGGUAAGUCUUGGAGGUAAGAUUUGUAAACUCAAUACUCGAUUCUAUGGUGAUUCCUAACUGAUUAGACAUGAAUUUAUUGGAAAUUAAGGGUUAAAAUUGGAGAAUUAGGGCUUGAAAUUGGAGAUCUUUCAUUGGGGAUUUGAGGGGCCAUUUGAGGUUUGAUUUUGAUAUUCUUGGUAUGUAUAGACUCGUGGGAGGAUAAGGAUUCUAGUGAUGUAAUUUUUAUCGAAUUUUGAGACGUGGGCUCGGGGGUCGGGUUUGGCCAAUUUGGGCAAUUUGAUGUAAUUUGAUUAUUUUUGCGUGGGCUUUAUUCCUUUAGCUUAUAUUGACGGCAUGAAUUUGGUUUUGGUUAGAUUCAAAUCAUUUGGAGGCCGAUUCGAGAGGCAAAGACAUCGCGGGCUAGAGUUUGGACCGAUUUGACAUACGUAAUGAUUGUAAAUGUUGUCCUUAGGGUAUGAAACCCCGGAUUUCACAUCUAUUUGCUACUUUGAGGUGACUCACACACUAGAUGACGUGCACGGGGCGGUGCAACAUUGGGGAUUGUGACCUGGUCCAUCCACUACGACUAUUCAGUCACGUAGUUGAUUGAAAACUAUUUGAUACUAUUGUGUUUUACUGGUUUCACAACUCAGCCCUAUUUACAAUGUUUUGAUACUUUAAUUAUUUUGGAUUGAGCAUCAUGUUUUACUGUUGCUCGAGUGGCUUGCAAGGUUUUUGACUGAGUGAGGUCGAAGGCCUGUAUUAUGAGGAUAUCAUGGGAUCGGGGUGUGCGCCACAACAUAUUGUACUGGCUUGUGAUAUAUGAGAGGCCGAGGGCCUAAUUUAUUAUGCCAUGAGAUGCCAUGUGUAGCGCUUGGGCUGUAAGAGCCCCCCCCCCCCCCNNNNNNNNNNNNNNNNNNNNNNNNNNNNNNNNNNNNNNNNNNNNNNNNNNNNNNNNNNNNNNNNNNNNNNNNNNNNNNNNNNNNNNNNNNNNNNNNNNNNNNNNNNNNNNNNNNNNNNNNNNNNNNNNNNNNNNNNNNNNNNNNNNNNNNNNNNNNNNNNNNNNNNNNNNNNNNNNNNNNNNNNNNNNNNNNNNNNNNNNNNNNNNNNNNNNNNNNNNNNNNNNNNNNNNNNNNNNNNNNNNNNNNNNNNNNNNNNNNNNNNNNNNNNNNNNNNNNNNNNNNNNNNNNNNNNNNNNNNNNNNNNNNNNNNNNNNNNNNNNNNNNNNNNNNNNNNNNNNNNNNNNNNNNNNNNNNNNNNNNNNNNNNNNNNNNUAAGAGCCCCCCCCCCCCCCUCCUCGGAGUCUGAACAUCCCCAGUGAGCGCGGGUACCCAGUGUGAACGGUGUGAUGUAGCCCGUUGGGAUUUUCUUGAUUCAUAUUGUUGACCGAAGGGGCUGAUUAUGAGUGAUUGUGAGGUAGUUUGAUAGGCUGGUUCUGUUGAUAUUUUUCCCGAGGGGCGGUUUAUGGUACAUGUUUUGCCCCAGAGGCUGCUUACAUUUCUAUCAUUUUUACUUAUUUUUUUCAUCACUCGUUGGAAACUAUUGAAAGAUGUUAUAUAAGGAAAGGCUUUACUGAAACUAAGUUUGUUUUACAAGAUGAAUAAUUUCUGUAUUGUUUUUGGAAAUAUACUAUAUCUGGUGUGGUGCUAUGACGUGGAUUUAUCUAUUUUCUUACUACCCAGCUUUUAUUUACAUUUAUUACUUACUGAGUUGGUUACUCACAUUACUCAACGCACCUUGUGUGCUGAUCCAGAAGUCUCGAGACGCGAUAGUGAGUGCAUCAGCCUUCCAAUAGGUCUCUGGAGUUGGCUAGGUAGCUGCUUGGCAUUCACAGCCCUACACUUCUCCUUCUUACCUUACUCAACCUGUCUUAGUUUUUUAUAUUAGGACUAUGUUAGCCUUUCUUUUACUUAGACGGGUUUGUAGUUGCUCAUAACUGGUGACACCCUUAUGUCGGGCUUGUGUAUUUAUUCUGCACUGGUUAUUUAGAUUUAUAUUAUGAGAUUUUAUGUCAAUUAAUGGCUUAAGACUUGACUUUUAUAGAAUAAUGGCCUGAUUUAGAAAUUGUGUCGGCUAACCUAGUUUCACGAUAUGCGCCAUCACAACCGGGCUAAUUUUAGGGACUUUCAUCUAUUGCAUCACCCUUGACCAAAUUGACUCGAAAGGGCGCGCCUUUCAUAUGUUCGGAUGAGUGUGAGACGAGCUUUCAGAAGCUCAAGACUGCCUUGACAAUAGCAACAUUGUUAGUAUUUCCAUCAGCUUUAGGUUCAUAUACAUUGUAGUGUGAUGCUUAGAGAGUUGGUAUUGGGUAUGUGUUGAUGUAGAGGGGUAGAAUGAUUGUUUAUGCUUCUCAUUAGUUAAAGCCUCAUGAGAAGAACUACCCUGUUCAUAAUCUACAGUUGGCUGCCAUAGUUUAUGCGUUGAAGAUUUGGAGGCAUUAUCUUUAUGGUGUGUGAGGUGUUUACUUAUCAUCGUUGCCUCCAACACUUGUUCAAGCAGAAGGUUCUCAAUUUGACGCAGCGGAGAUGGUUGGAGCUUCUAAAUGACUAUGAUAUCACUAUUUUGUACAAUUCGGGGAAGGCCAAUGUAGUGGCCGAUGCUUUAAGUAGGAAGGCUGUGAGUAUGGGCAGUUUGGUAUAUAUUCCUGUUUGGGAGAAACCUCUUGCAGUUGAUGUCCAGGCAUUGGCCAAUCGAUUUGUGAGGUAAGAUAUUUCAGAGCCCAUUCAGGUCUUAGCUUGUGUGGUUUCUCGAUCUUCCUUGUUUGAUCGCAUCAGAGAGAGCUAGUAUGCUGAUCAUCAUUUGCUUGUCCUUGAGGAAAGAGUUCAGCACAAGGAUGCCAAAGAUGUAACUAUUGGUGAUGAUGGGGUAUUGAGGAUGCAGGGUCGGAUAUGUGUGCCGAAUGUAAAUGGGCUUCAGGAGUUGAUUCUGGAGGAGGCCCAUGGCUCGCGGUAUUCCAUCCAUCAAGGUGCUGCAAAGAUGUAUCAGGAUUUGAGACAACAUUAUUGGUGGAGAAGAAUAAAGAAAGAUAUUGUGAGAUUUGUAGCUUGGUAUCUCAAUUGUCAGCAGGUGAAAUAUGAGCAUCAGAGACCGGAUGGCUUGCUUCAGAAAAUGGAUGUUCCACAGUGAAAGUGGGAGCGAAUCACCAUGGACUUUGUAGUUGGACUCCCACGGACCUUGAAGAAGUUCGAUGCUAUUUGGGUGAUUGUGGAUCAUUUUACAGAGUCCGCACACUUCAUUCAUGUGUGUACUACCUAUUCUUCAAAGCGGUUAGAUGAGAUUUAUAUCCGAGAGAUUAUUCUAUUGUAUAGUGUCCCACUUUCCAUCAUUUCAGAUAGAGGUACGCAGUUCACUUUGCAGUUUUGGAGGUCCGUGCAUCGGGAGUUGGGUACUCAGGUUGAGUUAAGCAUAGCUUUUCACCCUCAGACGAAUGAGCAGUCGGAGCGCACUAUACAGAUAUUGGAGGACAUGUUCCGCGUGUGUGUCAUUGAUUCUUAGGGUCCGCGGGAUCAUUUUCUACCGCUCGCGAAGUUUGCUUAUAACAACAAUUAUCAGUCAAGUAUUCAGAUGGCUCCAUAUGAGGACUUAUAUGGGAGAUAUUGUAGAUCUCCAGUUGGUUGGUUUGAGCCGGGUGAGACUAGGCUUUUGGGGACAGACUUGGUGCAGGAUGGCUUGGAUAAGGUGAAGGUGAUUCAAAAGCGACUUCGUACAGCGUAGUCAAGACAAUAGAGUUAUGCCGACAAGAAGGUUCGUGAUGUGUUCUGCAUGGUUGAGGAGAAGGUUAUAUUGAAAGUUUCACCCACGAAGGGUGUUAAGAGAUUUGGGAGGAAUUAGGGGUGUUCAUCGGGCGGAUUGGGCGGCUUUUUACUCUUAACGGUUAUCGGCUUUUAAAUGUAUUCAUCAUUUAGCCACCCGAUAAGAUAUCGGGCGGAUUGGUGUCGGGUUAGCUCUUAUUGGGCGGUUACCGGGCGAUUUAUCGGUUUAAUACCUAAAGGCUCAAAUGUAUUCUGUCCCCGCACUACAUUAUCCAAUGUCCAGUUCCAUUUCGCAAGUGUGUUUGACGUUGAGUAGUUAUACUAAGAUCAUUAGCUUUGCAAGCUUUAGUUUAAGAACUGCAGAGCUUUAUGCCAUUUAUUCUUCUAAUAAGCUACUGAGAAUUUAAUUAGUUGAAACUCAUUGUUCCUGAAGAAUCUAUUAGAGCUAAUAAUCUAAAUUGGCAUUGUCUCCCUAUAUAAUGAAGACAUUUGUGAUUCACAUUUCAUCAAUACUGUUUCAUCCGUUUUUCUUUUAUCACAUUUAUAUGAGUACACGCACCCUUUAUAAGAAUUUUUUGAUUAAUUCGUGGUAAGUUGAUGCUAAUGGUUUCAAUAAUCUAAUCAUACAAUUACUACAUAUUUUAAGAUAUAUUAGGCCCCUUAGCAUUUUCUAGUGAGAUUUUCUUUAUUAAAACCUGUUAUCAAUUCUCUAGUUUGUAGUUUCUUGUUAAUUUCUUUUUGACUCUUAAAUUUUGUUUUAUUUUGUUCUAUUAAUGUAGGAAAAAUCCAGAUGGAAGGCAAAGAAAUGGGAAUUUUCAGAAUAAUAUUGCUGAUGUUGUAGUGGAGUGCAGGGCAUUGUAUGACUUUCAAUUCAACAGUAGCACAAGAUGGGACAGGCAACUUCACAACAAUAACUGAUGCUGUAAAUGCAGCUCCUUCUCAGAGUGCAACACUAUUCUUUAUACUUGUCAAAACAGGCAUAAUAAAUUUAUGACACAAUUAUAUAUAUAUAUAUAUAUAUAUAUAUAUAUAUAUAUAUAUUCAUAACGGGUUAACGGAUUAUCCGUUAAGAAAAUUGAAUAAUCCGCCCCCAAACCGAUAAGCUGUUAUUAAAAAAAUUCAAUCCGUUCUCCGUCCGUUAAGCCGUUAAGCCGCUACCAUUAAGCCAUUAAGCUUCGGUUCGGUUCGAUUUUCGGUUUCGGAUUGGUUUUGAACACCCCUAAUUCGCAUAAUCUGUUUCGGAUCGGUUUUGAACACCCCUAGGAGGAAUGGUAAAUUGAGUCCCCGGUUCAUUGGGCCUUUUUGAGGUGCUUCGGAGGAUUAGGGAAGUGGCUUAUGAGCUGGCCUUUUGCCACCUAGCUUGUCGAGUGUGCAUCCAGUAUUCCAUGUUUUUAUGCUCCGGAAGUACAUUGGUGAUCUAUCUCAUCUUUUGGAUUUCAGCAAGGUUCAGUUAGACGGUAAUUUGACUUAUGAUGUGGAGCCAGUGGCUAUUUUGGGGCAUCAGUUUCGAAAGUUGAGAUUAAAGGGUAUAGCUUUACUGAAAAUACACCAGAAAGGUCGGACCGUGGAGGAGGCUACCUGGGAGACCGAGCGGGAAAUGCAAAGCAGAUAUCCUCAACUGUUAGAGGCUUCAUAUUUGUUUCUUGACUCAUUCGAGGACGAACGUUUAUUUAAGAGAGGCAGAUGUAACUCUCACACCUCCUUUUUACACAUAUACCCCGAAGGAUAAUGUCUAAGGGAGUUCUUUCAAUUAAAGUGACAUUAUUCGAAAUGAGAUUAUUUAUUUAUUUAGAGUCGCCACUUGGGAUAGGAUUGGUUUUUGGUGUCCCAAGUCAUCGUUUUAUCUUGAAUCGCAAAUCUAAAAAAAUUUCGACUUCCCGAGUGGAGUCUGCGAACCAAAAAUUCUGAAUAAGGAAUUCUGUUGACCCAAGGGAAGGUGUUAGGCACCCCCGGAUACCGUGGUUCUAGCACGGUCGCUUAAACUACUAUAAAUGGAUAAAUAUCUGAUUUUAAUACAUGUUUCAACUUAAAGUAUAAUUUUAAAGAUUAUUUACCGCUUUUAAUUAAAAAAUUUAAGAAGGUAAACGUCGUUUAAAAAUGUGCUUUUGGAUCACAUCACAUGAAAUGCACCCGGAUCCUCGACACAUUUAUAUCCAACGUUUUGGAAUUUGGAUUUGGGUCGCAUGAAAUGCACACCCAUAUUUAGGAAGGUAAAAUUAUUAAAACGUGCCUAAAGCGACUAACGUGUCAUUAUCUUUGAGUGAGGCAUGAAAUUCGUUAAACGGCACAUCCCGAAUAUUAAGUAUUUUAAUAUAAGUAUUUAAAGAAGGACACACAAUUUUGCGAUUUUUAUUUGGCGCGGCACGCCUCAGAUUAUUUUAAAAGAUUGUACUCAAUUAAAGCAAACUACGAAUGUUCGUUACUAAAUUGAAAUUAAGUAACCAACAAUAGCAGGUUGAUAGAUGAAGCAAAGAUCAAAAAUGUAAAAGAGAUACAAGUAAUAUUGCCAAAUCACAAAAUGUAAAUCCAACAUUAUCACAACUAAGGCAAGAAACACUUGAAUUUCAAUUUACAACGUGCCUGUAGUUUGUGAUAUGUGUCAAAUACUUCAAUUUGAGUCCAAUAUUUAACCAAUACCUUUUGCUAGCAUCCAGGAAGUCAAAAACCAAAAUUAAAUAAAAAAUUUGUGUAUAAUCAUGACAACUACUGAAACCCAAUCACAUAUGGCUUUGAAACAUAUUUGGCGCAUAUACUCCCAACCAUUAUAGAACCAAUUAAGAUUAUGAAUGUAUAUAAAAACGGAAAGACUCAAUUCAUAUUAACAAUAAAAGGGUCGUCAUCGUCCCAAAUUUAACACGAAAUCAACGCAAGCAAAAAAAAAAGAAUUAAGAGAGUAUGUGGCACCUUAAAACCGAGAUAAUCAGAGAGAACAAUAGCAAAAUGAAGGCUAACGAAAAUGUAGAGCUCAGCAAUGAAUCAGACAGUAGCGAAUCAGCCCAGAAAAACUCAGAGCACGACCUUCGAUGAACUCGGGACUCGCCGGAAAAUUCAAAUUACCCAAAAGGCCGUCGGAACUCGGACCUCUUGCUUUUCAUUUCAUCUCGCUUUUUAACCUUCAUGCAAUGUAUUCCUUUUCUAUUUUUUUGUUUUGUUUUCUGAUCGUUGAAGUAGAGAAAAGAAGCUGAAGAAACUAGCUCUUUUUGUUUGAGAAGAAAACGAAAAAAGGAGGAAAGUGGGGAGCACAAAUCCGUUGUUUCUCUAUUGUCUAGGGGUGUUCUUGUGUUAUGGGUUUUCAGAAAAAUGAAGUCGAAGAAGAAGAGUCGCCGUUUUUUGGGGAUCUUUUUGGAGAGGAGGGUUCUCUCAUCUGCUUCGAAAAAUCUGACUCGUGUCCUUUUUUUUUUUUUUUAUAUGAUUUAAUAUAGUCUUGUGUGGGGAGUAGUUUUUUUGGGA